CGUAGGGUGCAAGCGUUAAUCGGAAUUACUGGGCGUAAAGCGUACGCAGGCGGCUUUGCAAGACAGGUGUGAAAUCCCCGGGCCUAACCUGGGAACUGCAUUUGUGACUGCAUGGCUAGAGUCUGUCAGAGGGGGGUGGAAUUCCACGUGUAGCAGUGAAAUGCGUAGAGAUGUGGAAGAACACCGAUGGCGAAGGCAGCCCCCUGGGAUGAGACUGACGCUCAUGUACGAAAGCGUGGGGAGCAAACAGGAUUAGAUACCCUGGUAGUCCACGCCCCAAACGAUGUCUACUAGUUGUCGGGGGGUAACUCCUUCGGUAACGCAGCUAACGCGUGAAGUAGACCGCCUGGGGAGUACGGUCGCAAGAUUA
Molecule: ribosomal RNA, 370 nt
Filed under: uncultured organism
Description: bacterial SSU rRNA
Rfam family: Bacterial small subunit ribosomal RNA
Source: RNAcentral